This 68-nucleotide transfer RNA is filed under the name Euretidae gen. sp. DVL-2014. Its description in RNAcentral is "tRNA-Thr". Lineage: Eukaryota; Metazoa; Porifera; Hexactinellida; Sceptrulophora; Euretidae. The record is from RNAcentral.
GCUUAUCUAAUUUAAUAAAAAUACAUAACUUGUAAUUAUGUUAUACAAAUAAAACAUUGUGAUAAGAA